This 440-nucleotide ribosomal RNA is filed under the name uncultured archaeon. RNAcentral's name for it is "bacterial SSU rRNA". It matches the Rfam family "Archaeal small subunit ribosomal RNA", at positions 378 to 822 of the family's 1478-position model. The record is from RNAcentral.
ACCCCGAGUGCCCGUAAAUUCGGGCUGUCCGCCAGUGUAAAUAACUGGUGAAGAAAGGGCCGGGCAAGACCGGUGCCAGCCGCCGCGGUAAUACCGGCGGCUCGAGUGGUGGCCACUAUUACUGGGCUUAAAGCGUCCGUAGCUGGAUUGUUAAGUCUCUUGGGAAAUCCACCGGCUCAACCGAUGGGCGUUCAGGAGAAACUGGCAAUCUAGGGACCGGGAGAGGUGAGAGGUACUCCAGGGGUAGGAGUGAAAUCCUGUAAUCCUUGGGGGACCACCUGUGGCGAAGGCGUCUCACUAGAACGGCUCCGACAGUGAGGGACGAAAGCUGGGGGAGCAAACCGGAUUAGAUACCCGGGUAGUCCCAGCUGUAAACGAUGCGCGUUAGGUGUAUCGGUGACCACGAGUCAUCGAGGUGCCGAAGGGAAACCGUGAAACGU